This 3742-nucleotide long non-coding RNA is filed under the name Homo sapiens (human). RNAcentral describes it as "long non-coding RNA NONHSAT198335.1". Lineage: Eukaryota; Metazoa; Chordata; Mammalia; Primates; Hominidae. The record is from RNAcentral.
CUUGACUGACUGCAACCUCUGCCUCCCGGGCUCAAGCCAUCCUUCCACCUCAGCUUUGCAAGUAGCUGGGACUACUGGCAUGUGCCACCAACCCUGGCUAAUUUCUGUGUGUGUGUGUGUGUGUGUGUAUAUAUAUUUUGUUUGUUUGUUUGUUUGUUUGUUUGUUUGUUUUUGUAGAGACAUGGUUUCACCAAGUUGCCCAGGCUGGUCUCAAACUUGUGAGCUGAAGAGAUCUGCCUGCCUUGGCUUUCCAAAGUGCUGGAAUUACAGGCAUAAGCCACCACGCUCGGCCCUGUAUUUUUAUUUUUAAUCUCAGUUAUUGGCACUAAAAUUCAGUUGAUUAUCCAAAUAUGAAGCCUGGCUUUUGUCUUCACUAUGACCUCUCAAUUUUUCAAAAAAAUCAAAGUUGAAUCUAAUUUGUGUCCUUUCUGUUACUUCCUUUUCAGCUCCUUCUCAUCUCUCACCUGGCAGGACACAUAUUGUUGAAGGAGCCUAAGUGAAUUGUGAAUGUGCUACAACUUCACCGUAGUCCAGUUGUUCUCCACUGUGGGUAACUUCAUCUCCAGGAGGCAUUUAGCAACUUCUGGACAUAUUUUUGGUUGUCAUAACAGGGGGAAGGUUGCUACAGUCAUCUAGGUACUAGGGCCAGGGAUGCUACUCCACAGCCAAGUAUGCACAGGGCUGUUCCCUACUCCAGGGAAUUAUCAGCCCAAACUCUCAACUUUGUCGAGGUUGAGAAACGCUUCGGUAACCUCUGAGGUUUAUUGAGCAGCUGCCAUGCACUGCGUGGGUGCUAAGAAUAGAGUAGGAAGCGAAGCAGAUCCAUUCUCUGCUCACCCAGCGCCCACAGCAAGUGGCAUCCUGAUUCUUAUCAGUGGCUCCCCUGAGCACCAAGAUCUAAGAGCAGUGAAGGUAGGGGCUGCUGUACCCACAGGAGGGUCUCCAGGACAACCAGCCACCCAGGAGCCUGAGCAGGAGGAGCCUGUAGGAAGUGAGCUGGAAGUCAGGUUAAGAAAGUCGCAGAGGCUACUCAUAGGCGCCAGCUUUGUCUCCAUCUUCCUCCUUCGUCAUGCAAAGUGCUUCUGUGAACUUCAUGAGCAUGGGGUUCUUAAGGCCCAUUGGGUAGAGGCUUUAGGAACCCCAUGAUCAUGCUGCACACAGCCAGGCUCCAUCUCACAGGCAGGUCCUUGGCAUGGCCUAUCUUGAGUCUGGUGUAGCUUUUUUUCAAAAAUUGCCUUCUUAUCUCCUGUCUCAGCUAAUUGGUUCCUUCAUUCACUUACUUAUAACAAAAAUUUAAUGAGAAUACAUAUGUGUAAGGACCUAGAUUUAGGUUUUAAUUAUGAAUAGUUCUUAUUGGAUGCAUAUUCCAGACCCAUUUUAGAAAUGGAAAAUGUGAGAUGAAAUAACUUGUUACAGGUCACUUUUCUUUUACUCUGGAGCCCGUAAUCAUUGCCCCUGCAGUGAUUUCUCUCCUUCUCUUUCAUAUACUCAACCAAUAUUUAUGGAGGAUCCACUGUGUGCUGGGCAUGCACUGAGCACCAGGGCUAUGAUGGUGGACAAGACAGAUUUCAUUUCUGCUGUUAUUACCUACAUUGUAUUAGUCUGUUCUCUUGCUGCUAAUAAAGAUAUACCUGAGGCUGGGUAAUUUAUAAAGGAAAGAAAUCUAAUGGAAUCACAGUUCCACAUAGCUAGGGAGGGCUCCCAAUCAUGGCAGAAGGCAAAUGAGGAGCAAAGUUAUCUCUUAUUUGACUGCAGGCAAGAGAGAGCUUGCGGAGGGGAACUACCCUUUAUGAAAUCAUGAGAUGUCAUCAGACUUACUAUCAUGAGAACAGCAUGGGAAACACCUGCCCCUCAUGAUUCAAUUACCUCCCACUGGGUCCCUCUCAUGAUGUGUGGGAAUUAUGGGAGCUACAAUUCAAGAUAAGAUUUGGGUGGGGACACAGCCAAACCAUAUCACACAUUUUCAACUACUUUAUGGAAACUCCCCCUGGAGAGCUCACCUCAAGCGCUCCAGGUCCCAAGCCAGCCUUCUUCUAGAAUCUUCUCCCCAUCCCUCCCAUUCUUCAGAGGGAGUCUCAAAAAGAUUUUCUUGGAUAUUGCUGCAUGAAAUGGUGAGCAUUGUACACAGCACAUUAUGCAAACCAACACAUCAGAGGAUGGCUGGUGUCAUAUCUGCUUGAAAGCUUUCAGCCCCAAACACUUUGGCAUUCCUGCCAUUUCUGCCAAAAACAACUUCGGAGAGAGGCUGGGGAAGGAGGCUAGGUGAGAUCUGUUGGAUUCCAGAGAUUCAAGUCAGCACUGGUGUGACUGUGAGUUACCACACAGAGCUGGGGUGCCCGAAGGAAGAGACCCUCUUUCUGCCGAGAUGUGGUUUUAUAAGGAAAGAGAGACAUUCCCACUUCUGAGUGGCUUUAGGGGGUACAGACAUGCCAAUCUUCAGCACAUCUUACCUACCGAAAAAUUUCCAUCUUUUGCUGUCAAAACAAGUCAUAUCUUAAAGACCACACACACAGAGAAAGUUGGCUUCUCUACUUCAUAUCCAGAAAGUUCUCAGGGAGAAAAUAUGUAGCACUAAGGUGAAUAGAAGUCAAUGUAGCCGGGCACGGUGGCUCAUGCCUGUAAUCCCAGCACUCUGGGAGGCCAAUACGGGUGGAUCACCUGAGGUCAAGAGUUAAAGACCAGCCUGGCCAACAUGUUGAAACCCUGUCUCUACUAAAAAUACAAAAAUUAGCUGCGCGUGGUGGCAGGUGCCUGUAAUCCCAGCUAUUCGGGAGGCUGAGAGAGGAGAAUCGAUUGAACCUGGGAGGCAGAGGUUGCAGUGAGCUGAGAUCAUGCCACUGCACUCCAGCCUGGGUGACGAGAGCGAAACUCCGUCUCAAAAAAAAAAGAGGAAAAGAAAAAGAAAAAAGGUAAAAAAAGAAAGUCAAUGUAAAUCUGUGGAGCCUCUAUUUACAUAUUUCUUUUUACUGUGUUCUUAAAACAUCCCCUCAGCAUAUGACUAUGAUCGGAGGCUGAGUGCAAUGGAAGUGUUCACUUCUAGAACUUUCUCUCUGUAAGGACAGGAAGAAGAUAUAUAUGUGGAAUGGACUGAUGGAUAUUGUUCAUUGUCAAGUUUGGCCUACAUCCAGAGACCAUAAAUGUCACUCUUCUAUCACUGAGUGAAGAAAAUCAUGCACUUCAGAGGCAGAAAGGGCUUGGGACCUCCAGGCCAGGGAUUCCCAUUAUAGGCUCUGCCAUUUAAUAACUUCAUAACCCUGGGAAGGUUCCUCGGCUUCUCUCAGCCUCACUUUCCUCAUCUAGAAAAUGAAGGUGAGACUCCUACCAGAUGGAGUUGUGGGGGAUUCACGAGACAAUGGAGCAAAACCACUGGCACACAGUGGGUGAUCCAUAAUGGUGGCUCCUGGCCACUUGUACUACAGACACAAAUAAACAAAACCAAAAACCUUCCACAGUUAGAGAGUUUUCACUGGGAAUUUUGACUUCCCUCUACAAUUCAGUCUCCUGCUGUGGACUUUAAGUGGUCAGUGGUGUUGAACAACUAUUAUCUAACUAUUGGCAUAGUAUUAAGAGAUUCAGAGAUAUUGACCAAUGUCAGUGUUUCAGGACCCUUAAUAAUGGGUGGGUUUCAUGAUUCCAUUGUCAAGAUGAGCUCAUUUCUGCUCAGAAGAUUAAAUAAUUGGCCCUGAGACUGGUUAUCUAUCAGCAGAAGCAAACUUUGUGCUGAGAUCCAGGUCACUCUUCC